This 72-nucleotide transfer RNA is filed under the name Camelus bactrianus (Bactrian camel). It matches the Rfam family "tRNA". Rfam says of the family: Transfer RNA (tRNA) molecules are approximately 80 nucleotides in length. Their secondary structure includes four short double-helical elements and three loops (D, anti-codon, and T loops). The record is from Rfam by way of RNAcentral. Lineage: Eukaryota; Metazoa; Chordata; Mammalia; Artiodactyla; Camelidae. RNAcentral also lists the same sequence under 2 other names.
GAGGGUAUAGCUCAGAGGUAGAGUGUGCAACUAGCAUGCACAAGGUCCUAGGUUCAAUCCCUAGCACCUUCA